Molecule: ribosomal RNA, 485 nt
Filed under: uncultured bacterium
Lineage: Bacteria
Description: bacterial SSU rRNA
Rfam family: Bacterial small subunit ribosomal RNA
Source: RNAcentral
GAUGAACGCUAGCGGCAGGCUUAACACAUGCAAGUCGAGGGGUAUAGUUCUUCGGAGCUAGAGACCGGCGCACGGGUGCGUAACGCGUAUGCAAUCUACCUUUUACAGAGGGAUAGCCCAGAGAAAUUUGGAUUAAUACCUCAUAGUAUGUGAGAAUCGCAUGGUUUUCACAUUAAAGUUCCAACGGUAAAAGAUGAGCAUGCGUCCCAUUAGCUAGAUGGUAAGGUAACGGCUUACCAUGGCGACGAUGGGUAGGGGUCCUGAGAGGGAGAUCCCCCACACUGGUACUGAGACACGGACCAGACUCCUACGGGAGGCAGCAGUGAGGAAUAUUGGACAAUGGGCGCAAGCCUGAUCCAGCCAUGCCGCGUGCAGGAUGACGGUCCUAUGGAUUGUAACUGCUUUUGUACAGGAAGAAACACUCCCCUCGUGAGGGAGCUUGACGGUACUGUAAGAAUAGGAUCGGCUAACUCCGUGCCAGCACG